Molecule: long non-coding RNA, 4491 nt
Filed under: Brassica napus (rape)
Lineage: Eukaryota; Viridiplantae; Streptophyta; Magnoliopsida; Brassicales; Brassicaceae
Description: long non-coding RNA (BNAP_LNC016274)
Source: RNAcentral
UCUGUCAAACCGGAACAGCCACUGAAGUUCACCUUCACAAGAGAGUUCUGAAGUAGAUGUAGAAAGCCAGACUCUGUUACCCCCUUGAGCCCACACAGCUCAAUAUCUUCGAGCUGAGGGCAUAGCUUCCCAAGAGCAGCAAGGUUUGCAUCUCCAAAGCCAGGGCAGUUGCGAACAGACAGAGAGCGUAGACCACUUCGAUGAGAUGAAGCAGGUAACCCCGUGGCGAGAUCUCUAAUCCCCAAACAGUUCACCAUUGAGAAAGCCUUCAGCUUUGCACCACAGUUCAAAAGAGAACCAAAAAACCCAAACUGGGUGACCCUGUGGCACUCUUCAAGCUGAAUACUCUCCAAUGACAAAGAACCCUUCGCAAAAGAGACCAAACCGUUGUCAGAUAACAACGGGGAUUUACUGAUCAACGCCUUUUUCAUGUUCGGGCAUCCCUUCCCCACAGAUUCAAGCCCCGCGUCGGUCACUCCCUGGCAGGCUGUGAUGGUUAGAGAGUUCAACUUUUGCAGUCCGAUACCAUUUCCCAUCACCCAGAAUCCCUUCUCGGUCACGUGAGACAGACCAGCGAGCACAAGUUCAGUGACCGAGAAGCCGUAAUGACCCACGACAGCAAGAGACACAUCAGUGACAUUAACCAUCUGAAGCUUAAGCUUCGUCAGCGAACACGUGGUGUUAGACAGUAGCGCGGCGAUUCCUUGAUCCCUGACCAGAGGACAGUUCUUGAUAGACACCGACUUAAGCUUGGAGCAAGACCGUGCAACAGCUUGCAGGCCUUCAUCUCCGAUGCUCGAACAAGCCUCCAGUGUAAGCUCGCUCAAGUUAGGGCAGCUCUUGGCAAUCGCCACCAAACACUUGUCGGUGAUUGCAGGGCAACGGCUCAGGUCAAGCUUCUCAAGCUGAGGGCAGCCCUCGGCGAUCUCCAAGAGACCAAUAUCAGUAACAGCAGAAAGGGAGAGCCGAGAGAAGGGCAGCUCCGACCAAUCGACCUAAGACCAAGAUCCGAAACCUUGUCGCUUCCGCGAACAGAGAGUUUUCCGAGUCCACCACGGCCAGCAGUUCCAACAGCGAUGGCAGCUAGUCUAACAUCAGUAGCCUUCUUCCCAUCUAAGCUCCUAGAUAAGCAUCCUUCAGAGUCAUCUUCGGUUUUGUGGUAGUCUAGGAGAUACUCAAUCAUAAUCUCUAGACACUUUUUUAAUCCAUAAAACUCCAUUAUCUUCUUCCAAACCAAACUGCCAUUGCCUUCUCAUAUUUCCCACCAUUUUUUCUCCUUAUCGAGGUGAUUCUGUUCCGAACCAACUUAUCUAGCUUAAUUAGCAAUCAGACAAAGAGUUGGCUUUGACGGGUCACCCACUCUUCUGACGUUCCUCUCAUGCCAUAGUGCAUAAACCACAGCUUGGAAACAAUAUCGAAAUAGGAAUGUCAAAGUUUCUCUUGUAAUCUAUUUACAUAUGAACUGCCUGAGACCAUUGAUAUAAACUCCCAUUACCCGCCAUAUCUCUAAUAAUCUCACUCCAAACUUUUUUGGAAAAAGAGCACUCAAAAACAAUGAUUUCUAGUUUUUGUUGCAGAUUUACAAAGCCAGCAAGUGGAUAUAGCCUGAGGAUUCUAUCUCAAUAUCCUAUCCCAUGUCGCUAGCUUGUUGUGCAUUGCAAUCCAAGAAAGAAAAGAAAAUUUAGGAGUGGCUUCAGGGAACCAAAUUCCUUUGAACCAUGACACUUUCGGCGACUGGACUCUUGUAAGGUUCCAUGUUUGAGAUGUAAGGAAACCAGAUUUAAAUUCUCCAUUCUCUCUUUUCCAUAGACAGACAUCCUCCAACUGAUUAAGCCAUAUGUUUCUGAGAUCCACAAUUUCCUUUUCUAUCAGCCGAAGGACAGGAACUCUGUGUGUUCUGGUCCACAUAUCUGGAUAGCUCUUUCCACCGUAUAGUUUACUUGAAUACCAAGAUCCAUGCUUCCUCUAUCCCCCGUUAGCUCAAUUAAUUUACCCAGUGGCAAUCAUUUAUCAAACCAAAAGGAUGUAAUAGAGCUGCUGUUUAUCUCCACUCUAGACAAUUGCGAAGCCAAAGGUCUCAGUUUUAAUAACUUCUUCCAUAUCCAAGACCCUAACACACUCUUCUCCUUAACACUCCAGAAAGAACCUUUCCUGAUGAGAUAUUUCCACAUCCACACUGCCCACAAAGAUGAUCUAGCAGACAGUAUGUGUCAGAUAAGCUUUAGACAUGAUACUCUGUUUGCUUCAGUUAGAUUUCUCAGACCUAAACUUCUUUCGUCUUUCGGUUUACAAACAUCUGACCAUGCUAUUUUAGCUUUCUGAGUCGACAAGACCGGGCCAGACCAGAGAAAAGCGAGCAUAUACUAUUAGCUUCAUGUAUGCACUUAUUAGGCAAUCUGUAAGCCGACAUCCAAAAAUUUGUUAUACUAUAUAUAACAGAACUAAUGAAUUGUAGCUGACCUGCAAAAGAAAAAUGCCUUGCAGUCCAGGACGCAACUCUAGCUCUUAUUCUUGAUAUGAGAGCCGUAAUCUUGGACAUUCAUUUUCUUUGUUAAUAGAGGAAGAUCGAGGUAUCUUAAGAGAUCCAGUUUCAAAAGGGAAUUGUUCCAGAAUAGCAGUGCUAUCAUCUGUUAAAAUCUAUGCGAUCACUUUAAGAGUUAUCCGUCUGUCCACUUUGUUUUUUAUUCGUUUACAUGUGCUUUGGAUUUACCUUUUCUAAAAAAUCCAUGUUAUUCAACCUCUUCUACUCUCACUUACGAUCAAGAUUGUGUGGAAGAAGACGCUCAGCUUCCAAUGAUUCCUUGUCUCCACUUUGAGGGUUCAUAAUUUGGGAACUUGGCCCACUUAAUUAAUGAUUAAGAUUAGUCAACAAAUAACAAUAAUAGCGACAACGAAUACUCUUAAUAAUGACUCGCUUUCUUACUUUAUUAUAAUCCCACUCAAAUCAUAUCGUAUCCACACAAAUAUAAUCGUUGGCCAGAUUCUUCUCAUCAACCACAUUCAUUGAACUAGACCACAUUUCGUUUUUGAAUGGGACACACACAAACGUAGAUCAAAGUCAAAAAGUCAUGUUUUCACAUACAAUCUGAUUCUCUGUCCCAUAUACAGUCUUAAAGGUGUAAUAAUUUCUCAGAUCUCGUAAGGAUAUCAAAAAUAAAAUAUAACGAAAUGAGAAUUUUAUUCAAUACUUCAUUAAACCAUCCCAAAGAGCAUAUACAUAACUUAGUACAGUUGUUCAUACAGAUCGUAAUACAGUGCCAGGGAAAAAAAAACGAGGGCUCUGGAAAAAAAAAACAACAAGAAAAAACUCUUUAAAGAGUUUGUUGCAACAAAAGCCAGAGCAAACCUCUAAGAAAGAACCCAUGGCAACCUGAACAAAAUCUUGAACACGUGUACACAUCACACAGACCCUUUCGAGGAAAACCAAACAUGAACAAGACAAGCGACGCAAAGAAAACGAAACAUACCAAACAGGAGAUGAUAAACCCUAAAAUCUCGGUAAUACCCGGUAAGUAUAAUCUCAAGCAACCACACGACAUUCCGGUUUCAUGGUAAGCUAGAGUUCCCCUGAUCAAAAGGGAAACCCCUGCAAAAACAACAUUAACUGGAAAAAGAAACCGGAAGCCGAACUACUUGGAAAAAAAGGGUAAUACUGAGCAUAGCGAGAGAGAGACACGCGCCUGAAAAAGAGCUGACACUUAACUUGGAACAGUACUAAGAUACCUUCAUUAUAGGUGGAUAGAGUUGAACGUGGAAUUGGUGGAUCAGGAGAGGAUGUCACAUUUGUAAAGCCUCUCGAGUAAGAAAUCGACAGUGGAACAGGACACUGAUCGACACUGUUGGAGAUUUAACCCCAAUAAAGUCGAACCCAACUUAACGAUGGAUGGUAAGCUCUUGUCAGUGACCAUAGCGCAACCUGCCAUGGAUAGGAUCUGAAGUUUGAGUUUUUCAGAGGAAGCCAAUGCUUGAAUCCCAAAAUCAGAGACCGAGCAUUUCGAAAGAUCCAAAUCACUUAGAAUCUGGCAGUUUGCUGCAAUAGAGACUAGACUGGCGUCAGAGAUCUUGCUACAUCCAUCCAUGUUCAAGACUUCGAGAGUCAAACCGUUGCGAGCAGAGAUGGCAGAGACGACUCUGUCUGUCAAACCGGAACAGCCACUGAAGUUCACCUUCACAAGAGAGUUCUGAAGUAGAUGUAGAAAGCCAGACUCUGUUACCCCCUUGAGCCCACACAGCUCAAUAUCUUCGAGCUGAGGGCAUAGCUUCCCAAGAGCAGCAAGGUUUGCAUCUCCAAAGCCAGGGCAGUUGCGAACAGACAGAGAGCGUAGACCACUUCGAUGAGAUGAAGCAGGUAACCCCGUGGCGAGAUCUCUAAUCCCCAAACAGUUCACCAUUGAGAAAGCCUUCAGCUUUGCACCACAGUUCAAAAGAGAACCAAAAAACCCAAACUGGGUGACCCUGUGGCACUCUUCAAGCUGAAUACUCUCCAAUGAC